This 19-nucleotide small nuclear RNA is filed under the name Arabidopsis thaliana (thale cress). Its description in RNAcentral is "snRNA_14108". The record is from RNAcentral. Lineage: Eukaryota; Viridiplantae; Streptophyta; Magnoliopsida; Brassicales; Brassicaceae.
GGAUCCCUCGCGGGUGCAC